Molecule: ribosomal RNA, 301 nt
Filed under: uncultured bacterium
Lineage: Bacteria
Description: partial 16S ribosomal RNA
Rfam family: Bacterial small subunit ribosomal RNA
Source: RNAcentral
CAGCCGCCACGGUAAUACGUAGGGUGCAAGCGUUAAUCGGAAUUACUGGGCGUAAAGCGUGCGCAGGCGGUUCGUUAAGACAGAUGUGAAAUCCCCGGGCUUAACCUGGGAACCGCAUUUGUGACUGGCGGGCUAGAGUAUGGCAGAGGGGGGUAGAAUUCCACGUGUAGCAGUGAAAUGCGUAGAGAUGUGGAGGAAUACCGAUGGCGAAGGCAGCCCCCUGGGCCAAUACUGACGCUCAUGCACGAAAGCGUGGGGAGCAAACAGGAUUAGAUACCCGAGUAGUCCCUGUCUCUUAUAC